RNAcentral lists this ribosomal RNA (390 nucleotides) under uncultured bacterium. Its description in RNAcentral is "bacterial SSU rRNA". It matches the Rfam family "Bacterial small subunit ribosomal RNA", at positions 30 to 420 of the family's 1533-position model. The record is from RNAcentral.
AUUGAACGCUGGCGGCAUGCCUUACACAUGCAAGUCGAACGGCAGCACGGACUUCGGUCUGGUGGCGAGUGGCGAACGGGUGAGUAAUGUAUCGGAACGUACCUUUCAGUGGGGGAUAACGUAGCGAAAGUUACGCUAAUACCGCAUAUUCUGUGAGCAGGAAAGCAGGGGAUCGCAAGACCUUGCGCUGAUUGAGCGGCCGAUAUCAGAUUAGCUAGUUGGUGGGGUAAAGGCCUACCAAGGCGACGAUCUGUAGCGGGUCUGAGAGGAUGAUCCGCCACACUGGAACUGAGACACGGUCCAGACUCCUACGGGAGGCAGCAGUGGGGAAUUUUGGACAAUGGGGGCAACCCUGAUCCAGCCAUGCCGCGUGAGUGAAGAAGGCCUCGG